RNAcentral lists this ribosomal RNA (474 nucleotides) under uncultured bacterium. RNAcentral describes it as "bacterial SSU rRNA". It matches the Rfam family "Bacterial small subunit ribosomal RNA", at positions 23 to 507 of the family's 1533-position model. The record is from RNAcentral.
CUCAGGAUGAACGCUAGCGGCAGGCUUAAUACAUGCAAGUCGAGGGCUCAGCAAUGGGACCGGCGCACGGGUGCGUAACACGUAUGCAACCUGCCUGUAUCUGGGGGAUAGCCUCUCGAAAGAGAGAUUAAUACCCCAUAGUAUAACUGAAGAGCUAUUUUUUGGUUAUUAAAGAUUUAUCGGUUAAAGAUGGGCAUGCGGCUGAUUAGGUAGUUGGUGAGGUAAUGGCUCACCAAGCCAACGAUCAGUAGGGGGUCUGAGAGGAUGUCCCCCCACACUGGUACUGAGACACGGACCAGACUCCUACGGGAGGCAGCAGUAGGGAAUAUUGGACAAUGGGGGCAACCCUGAUCCAGCCAUUCCGCGUGCAGGAAUAAGGCCCUAUGGGUCGUAAGCUGCUUUUGUAUGGGAAAAAAUCAUCUUACGUGUAGGAUGUUGAUGGUACCAUGAGAAUAAGGAUCGGCUAACUUCGUG